UACGUAGGGGGCCAGCGUUGCUCGGAAUUACUGGGCGUACAGGGUUCGUUGGUGGUGCGGCAAGUUGGAAGUGACAUCUCUGGGCUUAACCCAGAGGCUGCUUUCAAAACUGCCGUGCUCGAGUGCGAGAGAGGUCAGUGGAAUUGCAGGUGUAGCGGUGAAAUGCGUAGAGAUCUGCAGGAACACCCGUGGCGAAGGCGGCUGACUGGAUCGCAACUGACACUGAGGAACGAAAGCGAGGGGAGCAAACAGG
This 253-nucleotide ribosomal RNA is filed under the name uncultured bacterium. Its description in RNAcentral is "partial 16S ribosomal RNA". It matches the Rfam family "Bacterial small subunit ribosomal RNA", at positions 524 to 776 of the family's 1533-position model. The record is from RNAcentral.